RNAcentral lists this ribosomal RNA (490 nucleotides) under uncultured bacterium. Its description in RNAcentral is "bacterial SSU rRNA". It matches the Rfam family "Bacterial small subunit ribosomal RNA", at positions 29 to 526 of the family's 1533-position model. The record is from RNAcentral.
AACGAACGCUGGCGGCGUGCUUAACACAUGCAAGUCAAGGGGAGGUAGCCUUCGGGCUAUAGUACACUGGCACACGGGUGAGUAACACGUGAGCAACCUACCUAGAAGAUCGGGAUAACUUGGCGAAAGUUGAGCUAAUACCGGAUAUGAAAUGUAACGAUUGUUAUGUUUGAAAAGGCUGGGGUAACUUAGCGCUUUUAGAUGGGCUCGCGCCCCAUUAGCUAGUUGGUGAGGGUAACGGCCCACCAAGGCUACGAUGGGUAACCGGCCUGAGAGGGUGGCCGGUCACACUGGGACUGAGACACGGCCCAGACUCCUACGGGAGGCAGCAGUGGGGAAUAUUGGACAAUGGACCAAAAGUCUGAUCCAGCAAUUCUGUGUGCAUGAUGAAGGUCUUCGGAUCGUAAAGUGCUUUCAGUUGGGAAGAAGAAAGUGACGGUACCAACAGAAGAAGCGACGGCUAAAUACGUGCCAGCCGCCGCCGUAACAC